This 501-nucleotide ribosomal RNA is filed under the name uncultured bacterium. RNAcentral's name for it is "partial 16S ribosomal RNA". It matches the Rfam family "Bacterial small subunit ribosomal RNA", at positions 30 to 523 of the family's 1533-position model. The record is from RNAcentral.
AUUGAACGCUGGCGGCAUGCCUUACACAUGCAAGUCGAACGGCAGCACGGGUGCUUGCACCUGGUGGCGAGUGGCGAACGGGUGAGUAAUACAUCGGAACGUACCUUAUCGUGGGGGAUAACGCAGCGAAAGCUGUGCUAAUACCGCAUACGCCCUGAGGGGGAAAGCGGGGGAUCGCAAGACCUCGCGCGAUUAGAGCGGCCGAUGCCUGAUUAGCUUGUUGGUGGGGUAAAGGCCCACCAAGGCGACGAUCAGUAGCUGGUCUGAGAGGACGAUCAGCCACACUGGGACUGAGACACGGCCCAGACUCCUACGGGAGGCAGCAGUGGGGAAUUUUGGACAAUGGGGGCAACCCUGAUCCAGCAAUGCCGCGUGAGUGAAGAAGGCUUUCGGGUUGUAAAGCUCUUUUGUCAGGGAAGAAACACCGGCUCUAACACAGUCUGGGAAUGACGGUACCUGAAGAAUAAGCACCGGCUAACUACGUGCCAGCCGCCGCCGUAA